UGUGAGCUGGGAAGCCUUACUUAGCCA
RNAcentral lists this non-coding RNA (27 nucleotides) under Rattus norvegicus (Norway rat). Lineage: Eukaryota; Metazoa; Chordata; Mammalia; Rodentia; Muridae. The record is from RNAcentral.